GGAUGGGCAUGCGGCGCAUUAGCUAGUCGGCGGGGUAACGGCCCACCGAGGCGACGAUGCGUAGGGGUUCUGAGAGGAAGGUCCCCCACACUGGUACUGAGACACGGACCAGACUCCUACGGGAGGCAGCAGUGAGGAAUAUUGGUCAAUGGGCGCGAGCCUGAACCAGCCAAGUCGCGUGAGGGAUGACGGUCCUACGGAUUGUAAACCUCUUUUGCCGGGGAGCAAGCGUGCGUUCGUGAACGCGCGUCGAGAGUACCCGGAGAAAAAGCAUCGGCUAACUCCGUGCCAGCAGCCGCGGUAAUACGGAGGAUGCGAGCGUUAUCCGGAUUUAUUGGGUUUAAAGGGUGCGUAGGCGGGAUGCCAAGUCAGCGGUAAAAAUGCGGUGCUCAACGCCGUCGAGCCGUUGAAACUGGCGUUCUUGAGUGGGCGAGAAGUAUGCGGAAUGCGUGGUGUAGCGGUGAAAUGCAUAGAUAUCACGCAGAACUCCGAUUGCGAAGGCAGCAUACCGGCGCCCUACUGACGCUGAGGCACGAAAGCGUGGGUAUCGAACAGGAUUAGAUACCCUGGUAGUCCACGCAGU
This 583-nucleotide ribosomal RNA is filed under the name uncultured bacterium. Its description in RNAcentral is "bacterial SSU rRNA". It matches the Rfam family "Bacterial small subunit ribosomal RNA", at positions 223 to 803 of the family's 1533-position model. The record is from RNAcentral.